RNAcentral lists this ribosomal RNA (465 nucleotides) under uncultured bacterium. RNAcentral's name for it is "partial 16S ribosomal RNA". It matches the Rfam family "Bacterial small subunit ribosomal RNA", at positions 28 to 507 of the family's 1533-position model. The record is from RNAcentral.
GACGAACGCUGGCGGCGUGCUUAACACAUGCAAGUCGAACGGAAAGGCCCUGCUUGCAGGGUACUCGAGUGGCGAACGGGUGAGUAACACGUGGGUGAUCUGCCCUGCACUUCGGGAUAAGCCUGGGAAACUGGGUCUAAUACCGGAUAGGAGCCAUUUUUAGUGUGAUGGUUGGAAAGUUUUUUCGGUGUAGGAUGAGCUCGCGGCCUAUCAGCUUGUUGGUGGGGUAAUGGCCUACCAAGGCGGCGACGGGUAGCCGGCCUGAGAGGGUGGACGGCCACAUUGGGACUGAGAUACGGUCCAGACUCCUACGGGAGGCAGCAGUGGGGAAUAUUGCACAAUGGGCGCAAGCCUGAUGCAGCGACGCCGCGUGGGGGAUGACGGCCUUCGGGUUGUAAACUCCUUUCGCUAGGGACGAAGCUUUUUGUGACGGUACCUAGAUAAGAAGCACCGGCUAACUACGUG